AUAAGACAAUCGAAUGGUCAUGGCCAGCUGAGAAAUUUGAACCUGAAAGUCAAGCAAAUGAUGUUGUCCACUCUAAUUCUUCUCUUGUAGUUGCGGCUCCUGAUUGUAUUUAUUCAGAAGUUGAGGCACCUAACGUAUCAAACGCCGUUGUCGUUGAUAGAAAGGUUGGCAAUAGUGAUGUUUCCCUUGCUGUUGUUGCUGCUACUUGUGCUGCAGAGGAAGAUGAAGAAGACGACGAUGAUGAUGAUGAAAUUAAAGAAAUUGGGUCUGACGAGAUUGUUUGAAUGACAAUGUAUGAUGUGCAGAGGAGUCAGAGAUCAAAGGUAUACUGGAAGGAUUGGAUUACAAAUUGCUCAAGAACAAGGAUGGGAAGAUAUUAGUCUGGACUGACUAUGAGGAGGUGGCAGAAUGAAUGAGGGAUGGAGGGAAAUCUUCUUGGCAUUGGGAUUUAUUUGUGUUAUUGUAUGACGUUUAUAUAUUAUCUCUGUUUUUUUUUUUUCUUUAGGGGUAGAAAUAACUUAUCUCUGUACUUAAGUCUUUUAGUUUGCUGAGGAACAUGGUUCCAUGUGGUUUGAGGAACCUGGUUGGUUUUCACAGUUUGCAG
Long non-coding RNA from Macadamia integrifolia, 604 nucleotides. RefSeq lists it as uncharacterized. NCBI's taxonomy places the organism in Eukaryota, Viridiplantae, Streptophyta, Magnoliopsida, Proteales, Proteaceae. The record is from RefSeq and is a predicted model, not a curated record. The transcript has 2 exons.